RNAcentral lists this transfer RNA (97 nucleotides) under Oxalicibacterium faecigallinarum. RNAcentral's name for it is "tRNA-Sec". It matches the Rfam family "Selenocysteine transfer RNA". Lineage: Bacteria; Pseudomonadati; Pseudomonadota; Betaproteobacteria; Burkholderiales; Oxalobacteraceae. The record is from RNAcentral.
AGGAAGGAAAUCGUCCCUGGUGGGGCGGCCGGGCUUCAAACCCGGUUGGUGGCGCCACGCGUCGCCGGGUGGGUUCGACUCCCGCUUCCUUCCGCCA